AGUGAACGCUGGCGGUAGGCCUAACACAUGCAAGUCGAACGGCAGCACAGUAAGAGCUUGCUCUUACGGGUGGCGAGUGGCGGACGGGUGAGGAAUACAUCGGAAUCUGCUUUUUCGUGGGGGAUAACGUAGGGAAACUUACGCUAAUACCGCAUACGACCUACGGGUGAAAGCAGGGGAUCUUCGGACCUUGCGCGAUUGAAUGAGCCGAUGUCGGAUUAGCUAGUUGGCGGGGUAAAGGCCCACCAAGGCGACGAUCCGUAGCUGGUCUGAGAGGAUGAUCAGCCACACUGGAACUGAGACACGGUCCAGACUCCUACGGGAGGCAGCAGUGGGGAAUAUUGGGCAAUGGGCGCAAGCCUGAUCCAGCCAUACCGCGUGGGUGAAGAAGGCCUUCGGGUUGUAAAGCCCUUUUGUUGGGAAAGAAAAGCAGCAGGUUAAUACCCCGCUGUUCUGACGGUACCCAAAGAAUAAGCACCGGCUAACUUCGUG
Molecule: ribosomal RNA, 492 nt
Filed under: uncultured bacterium
Lineage: Bacteria
Description: partial 16S ribosomal RNA
Rfam family: Bacterial small subunit ribosomal RNA
Source: RNAcentral